RNAcentral lists this ribosomal RNA (435 nucleotides) under uncultured bacterium. RNAcentral describes it as "partial 16S ribosomal RNA". It matches the Rfam family "Bacterial small subunit ribosomal RNA", at positions 28 to 507 of the family's 1533-position model. The record is from RNAcentral.
GAUGAACGCUGGCGGUAUGCUUAACACAUGCAAGUCGAACGGACUCUUCGGAGCUAGUGGCGGACGGGUGAGUAACGCGUGAGAAUCUGGCUUUGGGUUCGGGACAACCACUGGAAACGGUGGCUAAUACCGGAUGUGCCGAGAGGUAAAAGAGAAAUUGCCUGAAGAUGAGCUCGCGUCUGAUUAGCUAGUUGGUGAGGUAAAGGCUCACCAAGGCAGCGAUCAGUAGCUGGUCUGAGAGGAUGACCAGCCACACUGGGACUGAGACACGGCCCAGACUCCUACGGGAGGCAGCAGUGGGGAAUUUUCCGCAAUGGGCGAAAGCCUGACGGAGCAGUACCGCGUGAGGGAAGAAGGCUCUUGGGUUGUAAACCUCUUUUCUUAGGGAAGAACAAAAUGACGGUACCUAAGGAAUCAGCAUCGGCUAACUCCGUG